GAUGAACGCUGGCGGCGCGCCUAACACAUGCAAGUCGAACGAUUAAAGCACCUUCGGGUGUGUAUAAAGUGGCGAACGGCUGAGUAACACGUGGGCAACCUGCCCCUUUCAUUGGGAUAGCCACGGGAAACCGUGGAUAAUACCGAAUACUUCGAGACUUCCGCAUGGAAGACUCGAGAAAGCUCCGGCGGAGAGGGAUGGGCCCGCGGCCUGUUAGCUUGUUGGUGGGGUAACGGCCUACCAAGGCAAUGAUGGGUAGCUGGGUUGAGAGACCGACCAGCCAGAUUGGGACUGAGACACGGCCCAGACUCCUACGGGAGGCAACAGUGGGGAAUCUUGCACAAUGGGCGAAAGCCUGAUGCAGCGACGCCGCGUGCGGGAUGAAGGCCUUCGGGUUGUAAACCGCUUUCAGCAGGGACGAGGCGAAAGUGACGGUACCUGCAGAAGAAGCCCCGGCUAACUACGU
Molecule: ribosomal RNA, 466 nt
Filed under: uncultured bacterium
Lineage: Bacteria
Description: partial 16S ribosomal RNA
Rfam family: Bacterial small subunit ribosomal RNA
Source: RNAcentral